Molecule: non-coding RNA, 408 nt
Organism: Inquilinus limosus MP06
Lineage: Bacteria; Pseudomonadati; Pseudomonadota; Alphaproteobacteria; Rhodospirillales; Rhodospirillaceae
Source: Rfam
GCAGAUGGCCGGAUGGCCGCUCUGCCGGGCUUCGGCCCGGCGGGGAGGAAAGUCCGGGCUCCACGGAAACACGGUGCCGGGUAACGCCCGGCGGGGGCGACCCCAGGGACAGUGCCACAGAAAGCAAACCGCCCGGCUCCGGCCGGGUAAGGGUGAAAGGGUGCGGUAAGAGCGCACCGCGCGGCCGGCAACGGUCGCGGCACGGUAAACCCCACCGGGAGCAAGACCGAAUAGGGGCGGGGCGGUUCAUGGGAAACCAUGGGCCGACAGGCGUUUCCGCCUGCCGCCCGGGUUGGUCGCGCGAGGCGACGGGCGACCGUCGUCCCAGAGGAAUGGCCAUCCCCCGACCCGCCGUCCGCAAGGAUACGGGGCCGGGGACAGAACCCGGCUUACAGGCCAUCUGCCGCC